UACGGGGGGGGCAAGCGUUGUUCGGAAUUACUGGGCGUAAAGGGCUCGUAGGCGGCCAACUAAGUCAGACGUGAAAUCCCUCGGCUUAACCGGGGAACUGCGUCUGAUACUGGAUGGCUAGAGGUUGGGAGAGGGAUGCGGAAUUCCAGGUGUAGCGGUGAAAUGCGUAGAGAUCAGGAAGAACAUCGGUGGCGAAGGCGCUCUGCUGGACCAUAACUGACACUCAGGGACGAAAGCUAGGGGAGCGAAUGGG
RNAcentral lists this ribosomal RNA (253 nucleotides) under uncultured bacterium. RNAcentral's name for it is "partial 16S ribosomal RNA". It matches the Rfam family "Bacterial small subunit ribosomal RNA", at positions 524 to 776 of the family's 1533-position model. The record is from RNAcentral.